AUUGAACGCUGGCGGCAUGCUUUACACAUGCAAGUCGAACGGUAACAGGGUGCUUGCACCGCUGACGAGUGGCGAACGGGUGAGUAAUGCGUCGGAACGUGCCGAGUAGUGGGGGAUAACGCAGCGAAAGUUGUGCUAAUACCGCAUACGUACUGAGGUAGAAAGUGGGGGACCUUCGGGCCUCACGCUAUUCGAGCGGCCGACGUCUGAUUAGCUAGUAGGUGAGGUAAAGGCUCACCUAGGCGACGAUCAGUAGCGGGUCUGAGAGGAUGAUCGGCCACACUGGGACUGAGACACGGCCCAGACUCCUGCGGGAGGCAGCAGUGGGGAAUUUUGGACAAGGAGCGAAAGCCUGAUCCAGCCAUGCCGCGUGUCUGAAGAAGGCCUUCGGGUUGUAAAGGACUUUUGUCAGGGAGGAAAUCCCUAGUGCUAAUAACACUGGGGGAUGACAGUACCUAAAGAAUAAGCACCGGCUAACUACGUGCCAGCCGCCGCGGUAA
Molecule: ribosomal RNA, 500 nt
Filed under: uncultured bacterium
Lineage: Bacteria
Description: partial 16S ribosomal RNA
Rfam family: Bacterial small subunit ribosomal RNA
Source: RNAcentral